Molecule: ribosomal RNA, 505 nt
Filed under: uncultured bacterium
Lineage: Bacteria
Description: partial 16S ribosomal RNA
Rfam family: Bacterial small subunit ribosomal RNA
Source: RNAcentral
ACUCAAAUGAAUAGACGGGGGCUCACACAAGCGGUGGAGCAUGUGGCUUAAUUCGAGGCUACGCGCAAAACCUUAUCCCGGGCUUGACAUGCACGGAUUAACCCGCGGAAACGCGGGCCAGGCCGCAAGGUACAACGUGCACAGGUGCUGCAUGGCUGUCGUCAGCUCGUGUCGUGAGAUGUUGGGUUAAGUCCCGUAACGAGCGAAACCCCUGUGACUAGUUGCCAGCGCGUCAUGGCGGGGACUCUAGUCAGACCGCCGGCGUUAAGCCGGAGGAAGGCGGGGACGACGUCAAGUCCUCAUGGCCCUUAUGCCCGGGGCUGCACACGUGCUACAAUGGGCCGGACAGAGCGCUGCCAGGCCGCAAGGCCGAGCUAAUCGCCCAAACCGGUCCCCAGUUCGGAUUGCGGGCUGCAACCCGCCCGCAUGAAGCCGGAAUCGCUAGUAAUCGCGGAUCAGCACUGCCGCGGUGAAUGGGUUCCUGAGCCUUGUACACACCGCCCGU